GGUGGUAGCUCAGUGGUAGAGCACUUGCCUAGCGCAUGUGAGGCACUGAGUUCAAUCCUCAGCACCA
Molecule: transfer RNA, 67 nt
Filed under: Marmota marmota marmota (Alpine marmot)
Lineage: Eukaryota; Metazoa; Chordata; Mammalia; Rodentia; Sciuridae
Also listed under: 1 other name
Rfam family: tRNA
About the family: Transfer RNA (tRNA) molecules are approximately 80 nucleotides in length. Their secondary structure includes four short double-helical elements and three loops (D, anti-codon, and T loops).
Source: Rfam by way of RNAcentral